Molecule: non-coding RNA, 83 nt
Organism: Ciona savignyi (Pacific transparent sea squirt)
Lineage: Eukaryota; Metazoa; Chordata; Ascidiacea; Phlebobranchia; Cionidae
Source: Rfam
ACUGGGUUGGCCGAGUGGUUAAGGCGUUGGACUUAAGUUCCAAUGGACAAGUGUCCGCUUGGUAUCGAACCCCACACCCAGUA